ACGUAGGUGGCAAGCGUUGUCCGGAAUUAUUGGGCGUAAAGCGCGCGCAGGCGGCUUCUUAAGUCUGAUGUGAAAUCUUGCGGCUCAACCGCAAGCGGUCAUUGGAAACUGGGAGGCUUGAGUGCAGAAGAGGAGAGUGGAAUUCCACGUGUAGCGGUGAAAUGCGUAGAGAUGUGGAGGAACACCAGUGGCGAAGGCGGCUCUCUGGUCUGUAACUGACGCUGAGGCGCGAAAGCGUGGGGAGCAAACAGG
RNAcentral lists this ribosomal RNA (252 nucleotides) under uncultured bacterium. RNAcentral's name for it is "partial 16S ribosomal RNA". It matches the Rfam family "Bacterial small subunit ribosomal RNA", at positions 525 to 776 of the family's 1533-position model. The record is from RNAcentral.